This 608-nucleotide long non-coding RNA is filed under the name Corvus moneduloides (New Caledonian crow). Its description in RNAcentral is "lncRNA (ENSCMUG00000017494.1)". Lineage: Eukaryota; Metazoa; Chordata; Aves; Passeriformes; Corvidae. The record is from RNAcentral.
CUGCUGCAGGCACUGGCACCUUGGGGGAAGUUCGGUGUGUUCUGGGUCUUUCAGAAAACCUUCAGUGUCUCCAAGGGCUCAGCCAGCCCCAGCCACAUUUUGAGGAGGAGGAACUUUUUUCUUGUGUGUUGACUAACAAUUAGGAAAGGUUUAUGCAUAACUGACUGAAGGAAACUGAAAAUUAGCUGGCUAGACACCAGCUGCUGCUGCUGAUAUGGCCAAGGCUUUUCUUCGCUCUGCAGAGAGGAAUAUAUUGCUGUCUCAGGAAGGGAACACAGCUUGUCCCAUGACAUCUUUGCCUUCACAUCCUCUCCAUGGCUGAGUUAUGGCUGCAGGUUUGGACAGGCAGUCAUUCCAUGGCACCACAUUUACACAAAUUCGGGGUGCAGAGGUUAACAGUGACCCACUUGGUCGACAUUUCUCUCUCUGUAAUAAGACAGAAGUCUUCUCACUGCUGCAGUUUUGUGGAAAUCCGCCUUCCAGCAGAGCAACACUUCCACGAGGAGAAACAUCAUCUGAUGGUGAAAAUUAAGCCUCAGAAAACCUGGCUGAUGUUCAGAGGAUGAGAUGGAAGCCUCAGCAAAGAAUCAAACUGAAGAUAAAUCCAG